Non-coding RNA from Xyrichtys novacula (pearly razorfish), 2892 nucleotides. Lineage: Eukaryota; Metazoa; Chordata; Actinopteri; Labriformes; Labridae. The record is from the annotation of a GenBank genome assembly.
CUUCUUUUAAAGGUUUAUUACAAAACGAAGACAAUACAUGUCCACUGGGUUUAUUCUAUUGGCAAACACAAUACAAUGACGAACAACCUUCAAUUUUGGGGUGAAGCUUUGCAGGAACCACCACAUGAACAGAAAACAAAGCAACACAACAUGGAUCAAAAUGCAAAACGGUGGACGAAAAAGGGAAGAACAGCAUCUUUAAAUCCCCAAACUGAGAGAACACAAACCAGGAGGAUGAAGAGCAGGAGGGAGGAGGAGGAGGAGGUGGACAAGGAGGAGGGGGGGAAUUUGUUUUCUAUCAUUUUCUUCUGGAGGUUCAUAGUGCGAACACACAUUUAUAAAUAGUUCACAAUUAAAUUAAGUAAAAUCCAAUUCACACAGUAAAAUGUUAUUCACAAACUGAAAGCAUUCGUAAGACGACUGGUCGAGCAGGAAUAAAACAGUCAGGGGUGGAAUUUUGGCUGAAGCUGUUCUAGCUGUGGGGAGAAAAUAGAUCAUAAGUCCUUUACUUCCACAGCUGUCGACUUUUUAUGUGAGGAUAGGUGCUCACAUCGCUUCAACAUUAUUCACUAAUUUAAGUUUUUAGAAACUGGUGAGUGUUUGUGCCUGCAAACUUUUCAAACAGCAAAGUCUCACAGUUUUUCUUUUUUGUACAUGUUGGUCCUCAGAGGGAUGAUGUACGUGUCCAGAUUUUCUGAAAUCUUCUAAAUGUGUCACAUCAUACCAGAAUUUUUUUUUUUAGCUCUCAUAAUUCAGUAAAUAUUAUUUAAAUUAUUAAUCAAUCAUGUCUUUGACUAUUUUAGUGCAAAAGCUAUAACAAUGAUAAUAAUAAUAAUAUUAAUUAUGAUAAUAAUAAUAAUUUAAAAAAAGUUUAUUUUGUGGCCACAUCAGGUUUUGUCCAGUUAUUCAAAAUGAACUGGGUUGCUUUGAAGGCCAAAAACUGUCACGUUGUGUCGGCUUUUUCUUUAAUUUCUGUAUUUUGAGGCUUUUAUUGUGAAAAAUUCAGACAUCUACAGAAAGGAGUUGCUGUGGUGAGUCCUUUCCCAUUUGUGGAUGAUGAAGGUGAGGAUGCUAACAAUUAAGGUGGUGGUGUUGGUAAUGCUAGGAUGACGAGGACAGCUAAGCCUGGCUAGGUGCUCUGUUGUUUUCUUAAUUUAACCAAUCACAUUUAAAUACUAUUUAUAUUUAUAUAUUACAACACUGUUCCAAAUUUAUAAAUAAGAAGUGCAGUUUCUCUUCACCCUCCACAAAAUGACUUGCUCUGUUGGUGCACAACAAAUCCAAAUGCUGCAGAUCAGUCAUCAUCCACACAGCUGGAAAACUACAAAUAUGGCUGACCGGCUGCAGUUUAUAGUCUUCAUGCAAAUGUUAAUGUGAUGGAACACCAGGUCUGACCAUCAGCUGGUCCACUCACAUUUCACACAUUGACCUUUGUCAAAAUAUCAAAUCUAUUACACAGUUAACCAAUCAGAAUGGUGUGUCAGAAAGAACUUCAGCCAAUCAAAAUCACUCAGUUAAAAAGAAAAAAACAAAACACAAAGGAAAUGAGGGAGUCACACUCAUCAAGACCAGCAGGAGUCUGUAGUCCAUGGUCUGAAUUGGAUCAGUCCUGGACCUGAUCAGAGUUUAGCAGAAGUUUACUAACAGCAAAACCUGACUUCAGUUUUUUUAGGGACAGGAAAAUUUAGAGGAGAUAAAUGUGGUUUUAGGGGCUGGAUUGACUCAGCCAUCAACUGUAGAUGUAUGUUAAACAAUUCUAAUUACUGAUCAAUAAAACAGUAAAUACAUGCAGAUUAUUAAAUGUCUUGCACGGAGGAUUAGAGCCAGAUUAAAGAAAAAAAAUCUGGAUUUCAAAAACAUAAUCAUAUAAGAUUCAAGUCAUCAUAUUACAAAAAUAAAGCUGUAACAUUAUGAAUACAAAACUGCAAGCAAACAGCCGUAGUGAUACAAGAUAAAAGGAGAAUGAUGUUUUUGAAAAUGAAUCUUCAUUUGAAAAACUUUACAGUUUAAACAGGAAACUAGCUGCUCAUCUGGUAACAGCACUGGCAUACAGUCUGAACCAAAUGCAUGACUUUAUUCUUGUAAUAGGACAACUUCAUCAUUAUGUAAAACAACUUAAUCCUCAUAUUAUUACGACUUAGAACCUCUCUAAAUGUUCUUAUUCUUGUUACUCUCUAAAUUUACUCUCACUACUUCAGCACUUUAGAAAUUUCACCUUUGUGAUGAUGGAGAGAAUUAUCAUUAUUCAUCAUGUACAGAAGACAUUUAAAGCAAAAGCCUUGACUUGGUGACAGAAAUGAGUGAACAUUAUGACCAAAACUUUAAAAAACUGAGGAGUAGGUUUAGGUUUUUAUUGAGGAACUGUCUGAAACAGUACCUGAUGCUUUUCUAACAAUGGUUCCACACUUAUUAACGGCACAAUAAUUUGGAGUUUUGUUGUUAGUAAACAUUUGGGGAUUCAAAGUGACCAUCUGCAGUCUGAUCGGAGUAUCAAAUCUGUUCUGAACUGAAUCUACAGGUUGUGCUGUUCUACUUCUGUGGAGACUCAAUGUCCCAUAAUGCUUUGCAUGCUGACUUCUGACUAAAGGCAACCAGAUAAACACGUCCAACAGCUGAUGGCAGGUGGCUAAGAGGUUGGACCCUGGUGCCCAGCAGCUCCCAGCUCUCCCCCUCGGUGGCUCGUAGGAAAUGGAGUGUAGCGAGAGCAGAGUGAAAGCAAACAGGUCUGUGUGCAACUUAAAUGAUCUGUGGAUAAGGGGCAAGGCAGGGGGGUAACACCUUAAACUUAAUCCCAUCCUUUAGAGCAAGAACCUAAUGGUCAGUGAUGACCAUAUAUGGAUGUCCUGCUGAUAUCUACACCAGAUAAGAAUCAACCUGUUCCAGUAACAGAAC